This 69-nucleotide transfer RNA is filed under the name Craugastor sp. SBH-2008. Its description in RNAcentral is "tRNA-Val". Lineage: Eukaryota; Metazoa; Chordata; Amphibia; Anura; Craugastoridae. The record is from RNAcentral.
CGAAAUAUAGCUUAGUUAAAGCACCUUGCUUACACCAAGAAGACGCCCCAUGCACCGGGCUAUUUCGAG